AUUGAACGCUGGCGGCAGGCCUAACACAUGCAAGUCGAGCGGAUGAAGGGAGCUUGCUCCUGGAUUCAGCGGCGGACGGGUGAGUAAUGCCUAGGAAUCUGCCUGGUAGUGGGGGAUAACGUCCGGAAACGGGCGCUAAUACCGCACACGUCCUGAGGGAGAAAGUGGGGGAUCUUCGGACCUCACGCUAUCAGAUGAGCCUAGGUCGGAUUAGCUAGUUGGUGGGGUAAGGCCUACCAAGGCGACGAUCCGUAACUGGUCUGAGAGGAUGAUCAGUCACACUGGAACUGAGACACGGUCCAGACUCCUACGGGAGGCAGCAGUGGGGAAUAUUGGACAAUGGGCGAAAGCCUGAUCCAGCCAUGCCGCGUGUGUGAAGAAGGUCUUCGGAUUGUAAAGCACUUUAAGUUGGGAGGAAGGGCAGUAAGUUAAUACCUUGCUGUCUUGACGUUACCAACAGAAUAAGCACCGGCUAACUUCGUG
RNAcentral lists this ribosomal RNA (483 nucleotides) under uncultured bacterium. RNAcentral's name for it is "partial 16S ribosomal RNA". It matches the Rfam family "Bacterial small subunit ribosomal RNA", at positions 30 to 507 of the family's 1533-position model. The record is from RNAcentral.